Molecule: ribosomal RNA, 314 nt
Filed under: uncultured Glomus
Lineage: Eukaryota; Fungi; Glomeromycota; Glomeromycetes; Glomerales; Glomeraceae
Description: SSU rRNA
Rfam family: Eukaryotic small subunit ribosomal RNA
Source: RNAcentral
GCAGCCGCGGUAAUUCCAGCUCCAAUAGCGUAUAUUAAAGUUGUUGCAGUUAAAAAGCUCGUAGUUGAAUUUCGGGAUCAAUACGUCGGUCGUGCUUUUUUGGUACGCACUGGCGUCAUUGGUUUCUCCUUUCUGACGAACUAUGAUGUCAUUAAUUUGGUGUUAUGGGGAGUUAGGACUGUUACUUUGAAAAAAUUAGAGUGUUUAAAGCAGGCAUUAGCUUGAAUACAUUAGCAUGGAAUAAUGAAAUAGGACGUUCGAUCCUAUUUUGUUGGUUUCUAGGAUCAACGUAAUGAUUAAUAGGGAUAGUUGGG